UUUUUUAUGGUGUAAUAAACACGUUGAAUUUUCGAUUCAGAGAUGGGAAAUUUUCUCUAGGCCUUUAAAU
RNAcentral lists this transfer RNA (70 nucleotides) under Mactra chinensis. RNAcentral describes it as "tRNA-Glu". Lineage: Eukaryota; Metazoa; Mollusca; Bivalvia; Venerida; Mactridae. The record is from RNAcentral.